CCUACGGGGUGCAGCAGUGAGGAAUAUUGGUCAAUGGGCGCGAGCCUGAACCCGCCAAGUAGCGUGAAGGAUGACUGCCCUACGGGUUGUAAACUUCUUUUAUAAAGGAAUAAAGUGAGGCACGUGUGCCUUUUUGUAUGUACUUUAUGAAUAAGGAUCGGCUAACUCCGUGCCAGCAGCCGCGGUAAUACGGAGGACACGAGCGUUAUCCGGAUUUAUUGUGUUUAAAGGGAGCGUAGAUGGGUUGUUAAGUAAGUUGUGAAAGUUUGCGGCUCAACCGUAAAAUUGCAAUUGAUACUGGCAGCCUUGAGUACAGUUGAGGUAGGCGGAAUUCGUGGUGUAGCGGUGAAAUGCUGAGAUAGCACGAAGAACUCCGAUUGCGAAGGCAGCUUACUAAACUGCCACUGACAUUGAUGCUCGAAAGUGUGGGUAUCAAACAGGAUUAGAUACCCCUGUAGUC
Molecule: ribosomal RNA, 460 nt
Filed under: uncultured bacterium
Lineage: Bacteria
Description: partial 16S ribosomal RNA
Rfam family: Bacterial small subunit ribosomal RNA
Source: RNAcentral